UACGAAGGGGGCUAGCGUUGCUCGGAAUCACUGGGCGUAAAGCGCACGCAGGCGGAUCGUUAAGUCAGGGGUGAAAUCCCAAGGCUCAACCUUGGAACUGCCUUUGAUACUGGGGAUCUUGAGUCCGGGAGAGGUGAGUGGAACUGCGAGUGUAGAGGUGAAAUUCGUAGAUAUUCGCAAGAACACCAGUGGCGAAGGCGGCUCACUGGCCCGGUACUGACGCUGAGGUGCGAAAGCGUGGGGAGCAAACAGG
Molecule: ribosomal RNA, 253 nt
Filed under: uncultured bacterium
Lineage: Bacteria
Description: partial 16S ribosomal RNA
Rfam family: Bacterial small subunit ribosomal RNA
Source: RNAcentral